UGAGUAAAUGACAGGUCUCCGUGUGACCAGCGGAGGAUCAUU
RNAcentral lists this ribosomal RNA (42 nucleotides) under Microascus trigonosporus var. trigonosporus. RNAcentral describes it as "partial 18S ribosomal RNA". The record is from RNAcentral. Lineage: Eukaryota; Fungi; Ascomycota; Sordariomycetes; Microascales; Microascaceae.